UUGGUUUAAAUCAUUGUGGAUCUAUACUCUGAAAAUAGCACUUACGCAAAAUGGUAGAACAUACAUUGAUUUCAUCCAA
This 79-nucleotide microRNA precursor is filed under the name Medicago truncatula (barrel medic). Its description in RNAcentral is "MIR5269 microRNA precursor family". It matches the Rfam family "MIR5269 microRNA precursor family". Lineage: Eukaryota; Viridiplantae; Streptophyta; Magnoliopsida; Fabales; Fabaceae. The record is from Rfam by way of RNAcentral.